This is a long non-coding RNA of Oncorhynchus keta (chum salmon), 1490 nucleotides long. RefSeq lists it as uncharacterized. The record is from RefSeq and is a predicted model, not a curated record. Lineage: Eukaryota; Metazoa; Chordata; Actinopteri; Salmoniformes; Salmonidae. The transcript is spliced from 4 exons.
GUGCCACCAGUUUUGCUAAACUUGGCUGAUGGAUUAGCAUCCUCGCUAACCCUGGCUGUUCACCUUCCAGCUAAAUAAGGGUAGUGACAUUAUAGCUGGACGUGGUGAUGACUUUCAGAGGCAGGUGAAAAGCCUGGCUGAAAUGCAGUUCAGUCUACCAGUAUGUUGUCACGUCCUGACCUUAGAUAUCUCUGUUUUCUUUAUAUUUUUUGGUUAGGUCAGGGUGUGACUAGGGUGGGUACGCUCGUUUUUCCAGUGCCUAGGGUUUUUGUAUCGUCUAGGGUUUUUUGUAUGUCUAGAGUGUUUUGUAGGUCUAUGGUGGCCUGAUAUGGUUCCCAAUCAGAGACAGCUGUUUAUCGUUGUCUCUGAUUUGGGGAUCAUAUUUAGGCAGCCAUUUCACCUUUGGUGUUUGUGGGUUCUUGUUCUAUGUUUAGUUCCCUGUCUGCACUAUUCAUGUAGCUUCACGGUUCCUUUUGUUAUUUUGUUAUUUUGUUAGUUUGUUCAGUGUUUCAUUCUUUAAAUAAAGAAUAAUGAACGCCCACCACGCUGCACCCUGGUCUCCUUCGUACAACGAACGUGACAUAUGUGUACAGGAGGAGGGCUUGAAUGCCAAUCCUAUAUCGUACACUUGUAAUACUAAAUAUGAGGUCCUAUUGUAUGAUACCUUUUGUAACAGAUACAUUGAUCUUUUACCACACAGUGUUCAAACACUGGUGUAGGAUACUAGUAUCUGUCUUCACUUGCAUUGAUCUCAAUGGGAGACGAGAUGAAAAUAGUAGAGAGGUUAGAGAGCACGGUAGAGAGGUUAGAGAGCACGGUAGAGAGGUUAGAGAGCACGGUAGAGAGGUUAGAGAGCACGGUAGAGAGGUUAGAGAGCACGGUAGAGAGGUUAGAGAGCACGGUAGAGAGGUUAGAGAGCACGGUAGAGAGGUUAGAGAGCACGGUAGAGAGGUUAGAGAGCACGGUAGAGAGGUUAGAGAGCACGGUAGAGAGGUUAGAGAGCACGGUAGAGAGGUUAGAGAGCACGGUAGAGAGGUUAGAGAGCACGGUAGAGAGGUUAGAGAGCACGGUAGAGAGGUUAGAGAGCACGGUAGAGAGGUUAGAGAGCACGGUAGAGAGGUUAGAGAGCACGGUAGAGAGGUUAGAGAGCACGGUAGAGAGGUUAGAGAGGUAGCGACAGUGUUCUUUGGCUAUUUAAACUGUCGAUGCAACCGUCAGUUCAGUGUGUGUAGACACACACCACACAUACACCAUCUGGGCUCAGUAUUUUAUGGAUUCCAUUUAUUCCGCAUUGUUUAUUUGUUAAAUGUGUGAAAAUGUUAAAUAUUCACUGUACGCGGUACGCUGUACAGACCUGGGUUCACGUUCUAGUUGAAAUAUUUUUGCCUGUUGCAUUGGAACCAAUAGAAAGGUCCUCAAAAGUGCAAACCCUUCUCUGCAACUCCAGGCAGGCUAAAACAAACGCUCAAAGUAUUUUAAAGAUGUCAAAU